UACGGGGGGGGUAAGCGUUGUUCGGAAUUACUGGGCGUAAAGGGCCCGUAGGCGGCCAACUAAGUCAGACGUGAAAUCCCUCAGCUUAACUGGGGAACUGCGUCUGAUACUGGAUGGCUUGGAUUCGGGAGAGGAAUGCGGAAUUCCAGGUGUAGCGGUGAAAUGCGUAGAUAUCUGGAGGAACACCGGUGGCGAAGGCGGCAUUCUGGACCGAUAUUGACGCUGAGGAGCGAAAGCCAGGGGAGCAAACAGG
RNAcentral lists this ribosomal RNA (253 nucleotides) under uncultured bacterium. Its description in RNAcentral is "partial 16S ribosomal RNA". It matches the Rfam family "Bacterial small subunit ribosomal RNA", at positions 524 to 776 of the family's 1533-position model. The record is from RNAcentral.